CUUCCUUUCAGUCUCUCUCUAGUCUUGUUGAGAGUUGAGAGUUGAGACUAGAGAUCAUUAUCCAAAAAAAAAGUUGAGACUCGAGAGUUGAGAGAUAAAUCAAACCCAGAUCUACUUUCUUUCUCUCCUCAUCUCAGUCUUCGUCUCCCUCUCCUUCCGAGUUGAGAUCUGAACAAGAUCUAGUUUGUUCUCCCGUCAUUUUAAUUUGAUUCCUCUCUAUUGUUUUUUUUUUUUCCUUUUCCGGCUUCGGUCUAUCUUCUCGUUAAUUUAGGCCUCUCCGACUUUUCCUCAACAUAUGCCCAGAAACCCUAAUCCCAAAAACUCCCUGUAUUCACUCUGGCAAAUUGAGAUUUCAUUUCAAAGCAGAAGGAGGUAAAUCAGGAUUGGGAACUAAAAAUUGAAAUCAGAAAGAAUGGGAUUAACAACAUAAGGAAGCAUUGUUACCAUGUCGGGCCAAUUUCAUCCACUUCCACCUAUGGUCUCCAUGGAACUGGAAAGGCUCUUAUUUCUUUUCAACCUGGCGGAUGGUCAAUCACUUAACACAGUCUCAUUGAAUGGCAUGUGGAUGUAUUUAGCACUCUGUUUGUUUUGAUAUGGAGGUGCUAGACUUUGCUUGCCUUAUCAGUAUGUCUUAGAAUGGCAUGUGGAUGAAUUUAGCACUUUGUUUGAUUGUUGUCAGAAAGGUAGAGUUUGUUUGUGGUAAUAUGUAUGCCCAUUGACACAAUAGCAAAACCCUUUUUUCAUUGGCCAAUCAACGACAUCUGAAUACUCAUAAAUUGCAUUCAUUUAAUUGUUGGAAAUCUGAUACUUUAGCUAAUGUCCUUUUUGUAUCUCUAUGUAUAUUUAUUCUAGUCUUUUUAUUCUGUUUUCAUAUGCCAAUGUGCUUAAAGGAAGCUCUUUGGCUAAAAAUGGCCAUACUCUUCAUCUUUUGCAGAUAUUCUUAAUUUCCUCCAUGUUAUAUAUUUGUUUGUGUAACAAAAAUGGACUCAUGUUAUUUAUUUGCACAUUGCGGGUGGGAUUGUACCACACAACUGUUUGGAUACACAAAAUUUGAAUUAAGCACUCUCUUCUGCAGUAGUUUUAUGAAUCUUAUUCCAAGUGCAUAUGAUUAUUGGCCUUCCAAUUGCAGGUUCUUGUCUAACUCAGGAAUGUGGGAUUGGUGUACAAUGCAAAGUUCAUAGGCCAGCUAUGGAGAUAAUUUUGGAAUAAACUCAAUGAUCGAUUAAAAUUGAACUUUUGUAUCUCAGUUUCGGUUUGUAGUUGAUGACCAUAUGGCUAAUAACUAUGUUGCCAAGCUUUCUUAACCUUAAUGUUGUAGAUCUAACUAGUGUUGUUUUUCUCUCCAGGUACCACCACUCAGCUUUCAACAUCAUCUUCUCUGCAACUUUCACUUUAGUUAUUUUAUUAGGAGAUCAGGAAAUGCUAAUUGGACAUCCAAGAUAGACAAAUGAGAAAGCAUAUAAAAGUUGCUGGAGGUGGAGGUAUCAGAUGCAGCUAUGGGGAGGAAGAUAAAGAGAUUUAUGAUUUUUUAAUCUUGUAUUUCAUGUGAAGUUGUAUAUGAAUUGUACAGUAUUAUAAUUAGUAUAUUUUAGAAUUAUACAGUACAUAUAGGUGGGCCAAAUCGUUAAUUUUUUUAUAUAUAUCCUCCCAAGUCUGCCACUGAUGUCGGUGGCAUUAGAAAACACACCAAUUCAAUAACAGUGGGAAGGAAAAAGUAAUGUGCUGCAUUGGGUAUUGGUAUGUCACUGUUGUUUUAUCAGUGUGUAUUGUCCCAAUAGCACCUGCAAUAGAGGGGACUGAUUCCUCAAUAAUG
Long non-coding RNA from Rosa chinensis, 1813 nucleotides. RefSeq lists it as uncharacterized. NCBI's taxonomy places the organism in Eukaryota, Viridiplantae, Streptophyta, Magnoliopsida, Rosales, Rosaceae. The transcript has 5 exons. The record is from RefSeq and is a predicted model, not a curated record.